CGCACCUUGCGCCUUUUGGUAUUCCGAAAGGCAUGCCUGUUUGAGUGUCAUGAAAUCUCAAUCCCCUCGGGUUUUCCGACCUGGGGUGGACUUGGAACUGGGCGUCUGCCAUCUCGAUGGCUCGCCUCAAAUGACUUAGUGGGAUCAGCAUCCACGGCUUUGACGUAAUAAGUUUCGUCUGGCUAGGUGUGAGGCCCGCUCAUAACCCGCCGCAAGGCAACAUUUUUUGACUCUGGCCUCAAAUCAGGUAGGGCUACCCGCUGAACUUAA
This 270-nucleotide unclassified non-coding RNA is filed under the name Tetragoniomyces uliginosus. RNAcentral's name for it is "partial contains 5.8S ribosomal RNA, internal transcribed spacer 2, and large subunit ribosomal RNA". The record is from RNAcentral. Lineage: Eukaryota; Fungi; Basidiomycota; Tremellomycetes; Trichosporonales; Tetragoniomycetaceae.